AUUCCCCUCAAUCAAUCAGGCGGCGUGCAUUCCUACCCAAGAAGAAAGAUCCCAGACCGCUGUAUCUCUCCUUUCUGCCUGUCAUUAACUACCCACGAGAGCUCUUUCUCUUUUUCCCUCCUUCUCUUCCUUAGAGACGGAACCUAGGCCCAAGACGGUGAAUUGGCGCCGAGAAACCAGACACAGCCACCCAGCCAGCUCCAGCUCCAACGCCACGGUCUCUGCCCCCGCACCCACCCGCGUCCCUCCCAGGCAGCGACCGGAGCUCAUGCUUCGGCCUGACCAGGACUCCCCAUCCGGGGAGAGCCAUCGCUCACUGACCCAGGAAGGUGUCAAACGAGGAAGUAGCAGCAGUAACAGAUCUACAGAUGAAGAAAGUGAGGGCACGGAGUUGUUCAGCGCAAGGGAAUAGAUACCAGGUGUUGAAUCCAGGCUCUCCUACUUACUAGUUGUGUGACCUUACUCCUCUGAAUUUCAGCCUGUUCACAUGCAAAGUGGUGGUAAUAAUACCUUACACAGGUAUUGUGAGGAU
RNAcentral lists this long non-coding RNA (532 nucleotides) under Homo sapiens (human). RNAcentral describes it as "HSALNT0348875". The record is from RNAcentral. Lineage: Eukaryota; Metazoa; Chordata; Mammalia; Primates; Hominidae.